GCUGGCGGCGUGCCUAAUACAUGCAAGUCGAACGAAACUUCUUUAUCACCGAGUGCUUGCACUCACCGAUAAAGAGUUGAGUGGCGAACGGGUGAGUAACACGUGGGCAACCUGCCCAAAAGAGGGGGAUAACACUUGGAAACAGGUGCUAAUACCGCAUAACCAUAGUUACCGCAUGGUAACUAUGUAAAAGGUGGCUAUGCUACCGCUUUUGGAUGGGCCCGCGGCGCAUUAGCUAGUUGGUGGGGUAAAGGCUUACCAAGGCAAUGAUGCGUAGCCGAACUGAGAGGUUGAUCGGCCACAUUGGGACUGAGACACGGCCCAAACUCCUACGGGGGGCAGCAGUAGGGAAUCUUCCACAAUGGGCGAAAGCCUGAUGGAGCAACGCCGCGUGGGUGAAGAAGGUCUUCGGAUCGUAAAAACCUGUUGUUAGAGAAGAAAGUGCGUGAGAGUAACUGUUCACGUUUCGACGGUAUCUAACCAGAAAGCCACGGCUAACUACGUGCCAGCAGCCGCGGUAAUACGUAGGUGGCAAGCGUUAUCCGGAUUUAUUGGGCGUAAAGGGAACGCAGGCGGUCUUUUAAGUCUGAUGUGAAAGCCUUCGGCUUAACCGGAGUAGUGCAUUGGAAACUGGGAGACUUGAGUGCAGAAGAGGAGAGUGGACUCCAUGUGUAGCGGUGAAAUGCGUAGAUAUAUGGAAGACACCAGUGGCGA
RNAcentral lists this ribosomal RNA (714 nucleotides) under uncultured Lactobacillus sp. RNAcentral's name for it is "bacterial SSU rRNA". It matches the Rfam family "Bacterial small subunit ribosomal RNA", at positions 35 to 718 of the family's 1533-position model. The record is from RNAcentral. Lineage: Bacteria; Bacillati; Bacillota; Bacilli; Lactobacillales; Lactobacillaceae.